This 378-nucleotide unclassified non-coding RNA is filed under the name uncultured Actinomycetes bacterium. RNAcentral describes it as "uncultured actinobacterium contains 16S-23S intergenic spacer region". Lineage: Bacteria; Bacillati; Actinomycetota; Actinomycetes. The record is from RNAcentral.
UCUCGGCUUAUCACCGGCAGUCUACCUAGAGUGCCCAACCUAAUGGUGGCAACUAAGUACGAGGGUUGCGCUCGUUGCGGGACUUAACCCAACACCUCACGACACGAGCUGACGACAGCCAUGCACCACCUGUGAUGCGGCUCCGAAGAGGGACCGUGUUUCCACGGUUUUCCGCAACAUGUCAAGCCUAGGUAAGGUUCUUCGCGUCGCAUCGAAUUAAACAACAUGCUCCGCCGCUUGUGCGGGCCCCCGUCAAUUCCUUUGAGUUUUAGCCUUGCGGCCGUACUCCCCAGGCGGGGCACUUAAUGCGUUAGCUUCGGCACGGAGAACGUGGAAUGUUCCCCACACCUAGUGCCCACCGUUUACGGCGUGGACUAC